Molecule: ribosomal RNA, 274 nt
Filed under: uncultured bacterium
Lineage: Bacteria
Description: partial 16S ribosomal RNA
Rfam family: Bacterial small subunit ribosomal RNA
Source: RNAcentral
AUACGGGGGAUGCAAGCGUUAUUCGGAAUCAUUGGGCGUAAAGGGCACGCAGGCGGUUCUGUCAGUCAGAUGUGAAAGCCCGGGGCUUAACCCCGGACGUGCAUUUGAAACAGCAGGACUUGAGUAUGAGAGAGGAAAGCGGAAUUCCUGGUGUAGAGGUGAAAUUCGUAGAUAUCAGGAGGAACACCGGUGGCGAAGGCGGCUUUCUGGACCAAAACUGACGCUGAGGUGCGAAGGCGUGGGUAGCGAACAGGAUUAGAUACCCUAGUAGUCC